This 450-nucleotide ribosomal RNA is filed under the name uncultured bacterium. RNAcentral's name for it is "partial 16S ribosomal RNA". It matches the Rfam family "Bacterial small subunit ribosomal RNA", at positions 354 to 796 of the family's 1533-position model. The record is from RNAcentral.
GUGGGGAAUCUUCCGCAAUGGACGAAAGUCUGACGGAGCAACGCCGCGUGAGUGAAGAAGGUUUUCGGAUCGUAAAGCUCUUUCGUUAGGGACGAACGUGCUCUUUGUGAAUAAUGCUAGGAAGUGACGGUACCGGAAUAGAAAGCCACGGCUAACUACGUGCCAGCAGCCGCGGUAAUACGUAGGUGGCAAGCGUUGUCCGGAAUUAUUGGGCGUAAAGGGCGUGUAGGCGGCCAGACAAGUCUGUCUUAAAAGUGCGGGGCUCAACCCCGUGAGGGGACAGAAACUGGUAUUCUUGAGUGUCGGAGAGGAAAGUGGAAUUCCAAGUGUAGCGGUGAAAUGCGUAGAGAUUUGGAAGAACACCAGUGGCGAAGGCGACUUUCUGGACGAUGUCUGACGCUGAGGCGCGAAAGCUAGGGGAGCGAACGGGAUUAGAAACCCUAGUAGUCC